CGGGGAGCACCACAACAGGUGGAGCCUGCGGUUUAAUCGGACUCAACGCCGGGAAGCUCACCGGAUAAGACAGCGGAAUGAUAGCCGGGCUGAAGACUCUGCUUGACUAGCUGAGAGGAGGUGCAUGGCCGUCGUCAGUUCGUACUGUGAAGCAUCCUGUUAAGUCAGGCAACGAGCGAGACCCACGCCAACAGUUGCCAGCAUGUCCUCCGGGAUGGUGGGGACACUGUUGGGACCGCCUCUGCUAAAGAGGAGGAAGGAAUGGGCAACGGUAGGUCAGCAUGCCCCGAAUUAUCCGGGCUACACGCGGGCUACAAUGGUCAGGACAAUGGGCAUCAACGCCGAAAGGUGAAGGCAAUCUCUUGAACCUGUCCUUAGUUCGGAUUGUGGGCUGCAACUCGCCCACAUGAAGCUGGAAUCCGUAGUAAUCGCGUUUCAACAGAACGCGGUGAAUACGUCCCUGCUCCUU
RNAcentral lists this ribosomal RNA (469 nucleotides) under uncultured Methanolinea sp. RNAcentral describes it as "bacterial SSU rRNA". It matches the Rfam family "Archaeal small subunit ribosomal RNA", at positions 871 to 1337 of the family's 1478-position model. Lineage: Archaea; Methanobacteriati; Methanobacteriota; Methanomicrobia; Methanomicrobiales; Methanoregulaceae. The record is from RNAcentral.